CCUACGGGAGGCAGCAGUGAGGAAUAUUGGUCAAUGGACGGGAGCCUGAACCAGCCAAGUAGCGUGAAGGAUGACGGCCCUACGGGUUGUAAACUUCUUUUGUAAGGGAAUAAAGCGAGGCACGUGUGCCUUUUUGCAUGUACUUUAUGAAUAAGGAUCGGCUAACUCCGUGCCAGCAGCCGCGGUAAUACGGAGGAUCCGAGCGUUAUCCGGAUUUAUUGGGUUUAAAGGGAGCGUAGGUGGGUUGUUAAGUCAGUUGUGAAAGUUUGCGGCUCAACCGUGGAAUUGCAAUGGAUACUGGCAGUCUGGAGUACAGGUGAGGUAGGCGGAAUUCGUGGUGUAGCGGUGAAAUGCUUAGAUAUCACGAAGAACCCCGAUUGCGAAGGCAGCUUACUAAACUGGGACUGACAUUGAUGCUCGAAAGUGUGGGUAUCGAACAGGAUUAGAUACCCCAGUAGUC
RNAcentral lists this ribosomal RNA (460 nucleotides) under uncultured bacterium. RNAcentral's name for it is "partial 16S ribosomal RNA". It matches the Rfam family "Bacterial small subunit ribosomal RNA", at positions 338 to 795 of the family's 1533-position model. The record is from RNAcentral.